RNAcentral lists this ribosomal RNA (468 nucleotides) under uncultured bacterium. RNAcentral describes it as "partial 16S ribosomal RNA". It matches the Rfam family "Bacterial small subunit ribosomal RNA", at positions 28 to 507 of the family's 1533-position model. The record is from RNAcentral.
GACGAACGCUGGCGGCGUGCUUAACACAUGCAAGUCGAACGGAAAGGCCCUGCUUUUGUGGGGUGCUCGAGUGGCGAACGGGUGAGUAACACGUGAGUAACCUGCCCUUGACGUUGGGAUAACUUCAGGAAACUGGGGCUAAUACCGGAUAGGAGCUCCUGCUGCAUGGUGGGGGUUGGAAAGUUUCGGCGGUUGGGGAUGGACUCGCGGCUUAUCAGCUUGUUGGUGAGGUAGUGGCUUACCAAGGCUUUGACGGGUAGCCGGCCUGGGAGGGUGACCGGCCACAUUGGGACUGAGAUACGGCCCAGACUCCUACGGGAGGCAGCAGUGGGGAAUAUUGCACAAUGGGCGGAAGCCUGAUGCAGCAACGCCGCGUGCGGGAUGACGGCCUUCGGGUUGUAAACCGCUUUCGCCUGUGACGAAGCGUGAGUGACGGUAAUGGGUAAAGAAGCACCGGCUAACUACGUG